UAUCUACUCCCUCCGUCACAUAUGAAGUGUCUCAAAUUUGUUUAAAUAUGGAUGUAUCGAUGUCUAGAAAGCAUCUAGAUACAUGUAAUAUUUUGACACUUAAUAUGGGACGGAGGGAGUAUACA
This is a non-coding RNA of Brachypodium distachyon (stiff brome), 125 nucleotides long. The record is from Rfam. Lineage: Eukaryota; Viridiplantae; Streptophyta; Magnoliopsida; Poales; Poaceae.